GGCAAUCAGCCAUUGCAGUGGCGCGCUAGCAUCGAACCACGCGGCUGCGCCGCCAAAAGCAAGCGCGAUGCCGACCACCAGCAGGUAAAAAGUUCCGGUAAGCAAUUCCGCCGCAACCAACGCCGACGCCGCAAUCCACCACACCCAAUACGCGCUCAUGGCUCGCUCCUCCCGCGACGAA
RNAcentral lists this unclassified non-coding RNA (181 nucleotides) under uncultured fungus. RNAcentral's name for it is "sequence contains ITS1". The record is from RNAcentral. Lineage: Eukaryota; Fungi.